RNAcentral lists this ribosomal RNA (301 nucleotides) under uncultured bacterium. RNAcentral describes it as "partial 16S ribosomal RNA". It matches the Rfam family "Bacterial small subunit ribosomal RNA", at positions 509 to 807 of the family's 1533-position model. The record is from RNAcentral.
CAGUAGCCACGGGAAUACGUAGGUGGCAAGCGUUGUCCGGAAUUAUUGGGCGUAAAGGGCUCGCAGGCGGUUUCUUAAGUCUGAUGUGAAAGCCCCCGGCUCAACCGGGGAGGGUCAUUGGAAACUGGGAAACUUGAGUGCAGAAGAGGAGAGUGGAAUUCCACGUGUAGCGGUGGAAUGCGUAGAGAUGUGGAGGAACACCAGUGGCGAAGGCGACUCUCUGGUCUGUAACUGACGCUGAGGAGCGAAAGCGUGGGGAGCGAACAGGAUUAGAUACCCCCGUAGUCCCUGUCUCUUAUAC